RNAcentral lists this ribosomal RNA (460 nucleotides) under uncultured bacterium. RNAcentral describes it as "partial 16S ribosomal RNA". It matches the Rfam family "Bacterial small subunit ribosomal RNA", at positions 338 to 795 of the family's 1533-position model. The record is from RNAcentral.
CCUACGGGAGGCAGCAGUGAGGAAUAUUGGUCAAUGGGCGCGAGCCUGAACCAGCCAAGUCGCGUGAGGGAUGAAGGUUCUAUGGAUCGUAAACCUCUUUUAUAGGGGAAUAAAGUGUGGGACGUGUCCUAUUUUGUAUGUACCUUAUGAAUAAGGAUCGGCUAACUCCGUGCCAGCAGCCGCGGUAAGACGGAGGGUCCGGGCGUUAUCCGGAUUUAGUGGGUUUAAAGGGUGCGUAGGCGGCCUUUUAAGUCAGCGGUGAAAGUCUAUGGCUCAACCAUAGAAUUGCCGUUGAAACUGGGGGGCUUGAGUAUGUUUGAGGCAGGUGGAAUUCGUGGUGUAGCGGUGAAAUGCUUAGAGAUCACGCAGAACCCCGAUUGCGAAGGCAGCCUGCCAAGCCAUGACUGACGCUGAUGCACGAAAGCGUGGGGAUCAAACAGGAUUAGAUACCCGGGUAGUC